GCCCCCGUACCCCAAUGGCAGAGGGAGCGGAUUCAAAACCCGCACAGUGUCCGUUCGAAUCGGACCGGGGGCA
This 73-nucleotide transfer RNA is filed under the name Modestobacter sp. Leaf380. RNAcentral describes it as "tRNA-Leu". It matches the Rfam family "tRNA". Rfam says of the family: Transfer RNA (tRNA) molecules are approximately 80 nucleotides in length. Their secondary structure includes four short double-helical elements and three loops (D, anti-codon, and T loops). Further hydrogen bonds mediate the characteristic L-shaped molecular structure. tRNAs have two regions of fundamental functional importance: the anti-codon, which is responsible for specific mRNA codon recognition, and the 3' end, to which the tRNAs corresponding amino acid is attached (by aminoacyl-tRNA synthetases). tRNAs cope with the degeneracy of the genetic code in two manners: having more than one tRNA (with a specific anti-codon) for a particular amino acid; and 'wobble' base-pairing, i.e. permitting non-standard base-pairing at the 3rd anti-codon position. Lineage: Bacteria; Bacillati; Actinomycetota; Actinomycetes; Geodermatophilales; Geodermatophilaceae. The record is from RNAcentral.